GGCGGGAUUACCGAGUCUGGUCAAAGGUCUUUUGGUUUAGAAUCCAGUGGCAAAGGCCUUCGGGAGUUCGAAUCUCCCUCCCGCCA
Molecule: transfer RNA, 86 nt
Filed under: Promethearchaeota archaeon
Lineage: Archaea; Promethearchaeati; Promethearchaeota
Description: Candidatus Lokiarchaeota archaeon tRNA-Leu
Rfam family: tRNA
About the family: Transfer RNA (tRNA) molecules are approximately 80 nucleotides in length.
Source: RNAcentral